Molecule: ribosomal RNA, 911 nt
Filed under: uncultured bacterium
Lineage: Bacteria
Description: bacterial SSU rRNA
Rfam family: Bacterial small subunit ribosomal RNA
Source: RNAcentral
UUAGAGUUUGAUCCUGGCUCAGGAUGAACGCUAGCGACAGGCUUAACACAUGCAAGUCGAGGGGCAGCGAGGGAGUGGCAACACUUCUGUCGGCGACCGGCGCACGGGUGAGUAACGCGUAUGCAACCUGCCCUUCACAGGGGGAUAACCGGGAGAAAUUCCGACUAAUACCGCAUACGUCCUUUGGGGGUAUCCCCGGGGGAUGAAAGAAUUAUCGGUGAAGGAUGGGCAUGCGUGAUAUUAGGUAGUUGGCGGGGCAACGGCCCACCAAGCCUACGAUAUCUAGGGGUUCUGAGAGGAAGGUCCCCCACAUUGGUACUGAGACACGGACCAAACUCCUACGGGAGGCAGCAGUGAGGAAUAUUGGUCAAUGGACGAGAGUCUGAACCAGCCAAGUCGCGUGAAGGAAGACGGAUCUAUGGUUUGUAAACUUCUUUAGUGCGGGAACAAAGCGGCGUCGUGACGCCUGAUGAGUGUACCGCAAGAAUAAGCAUCGGCUAACUCCGUGCCAGCAGCCGCGGUAAUACGGAGGAUGCGAGCGUUAUCCGGAUUUAUUGGGUUUAAAGGGAGCGCAGGCUGCGAGGCAAGUCAGCGGUCAAAUGUCGGGGCUCAACCCCGGCCUGCCGUUGAAACUGUCCUGCUAGAGUUCGAGUGAGGUAUGCGGAAUGCGUUGUGUAGCGGUGAAAUGCAUAGAUAUGACGCAGAACUCCGAUUGCGAAGGCAGCAUACCAACUCGCGACUGACGCUGAGGCUCGAAAGCGUGGGUAUCGAACAGGAUUAGAUACCCUGGUAGUCCACGCAGUAAACGAUGAAUACUAACUGUUCGGAGGGCGACCUCUGAGUGGUAAAGCGAAAGCGUUAAGUAUUCCACCUGGGGAGUACGCCGGCAACGGUGAAACUCAAAUGAAUUG